GUCCCUCACGAGCGCAACCCCUAUUCCUAUUUGCUAACACCUUGGGUGAGAACUAUAGGAAAACUGCUAGUGAUAAACUGGAGGAAGGUGGGGACGAGGUCAAGUCAUCAUGGCCCUUACGACCAGGGCUACACACGUGUUACAAUGGAAAGUACAAAGGGUUGCUAAAUUGUGAAAUGGAGCUAAUCCCACAAAGCUUUCCGUAGUUCAGAUUAGAGUCUGCAACUCGACUCUAUGAAGUCGGAAUCGCUAGUAAUCGCGUAUCAGAAUGUCGCGGUGAAUACGUUCUCGGGUCUUGUACACACCGCCCGU
This 312-nucleotide ribosomal RNA is filed under the name uncultured bacterium. Its description in RNAcentral is "bacterial SSU rRNA". It matches the Rfam family "Bacterial small subunit ribosomal RNA", at positions 1084 to 1397 of the family's 1533-position model. The record is from RNAcentral.